CAAGGGGACCAGCACAUGCAUGCCAAAGUUCUGAAUCCAAAACGCGCUUUUCUCCUGCAAAGAACAGCCAUCACAAUGCCAUGAAUAUCCAACAGAAUGUUCAUAGCUGCCACCUAAAUUCAUCAUUCAAUUUGGAUGUUAUUUAUG
Molecule: non-coding RNA, 147 nt
Organism: Arachis ipaensis
Lineage: Eukaryota; Viridiplantae; Streptophyta; Magnoliopsida; Fabales; Fabaceae
Source: RefSeq, a predicted model, not a curated record